RNAcentral lists this transfer RNA (74 nucleotides) under Camelus bactrianus (Bactrian camel). It matches the Rfam family "tRNA". Rfam says of the family: Transfer RNA (tRNA) molecules are approximately 80 nucleotides in length. Their secondary structure includes four short double-helical elements and three loops (D, anti-codon, and T loops). Lineage: Eukaryota; Metazoa; Chordata; Mammalia; Artiodactyla; Camelidae. RNAcentral also lists the same sequence under 2 other names. The record is from Rfam by way of RNAcentral.
GAGGGUGUAGCUCAAGUGGGUAGAGUGCAUGCUUAAUAUGCACGGGGUCCUAGGUUCAAUCCCCAGUACCUCCU